This 375-nucleotide ribosomal RNA is filed under the name uncultured bacterium. RNAcentral describes it as "bacterial SSU rRNA". It matches the Rfam family "Bacterial small subunit ribosomal RNA", at positions 1010 to 1383 of the family's 1533-position model. The record is from RNAcentral.
CGGAGUGCCCUCGGGGAACUUGAAAACAGGUGCUGCACGGCUGUCGUCAGUUCGAGUCGUGAGAUGUUGGGUUAAGUCCCGCAACGAGCGCAACCCUCGUCCUUAGUUGCCAGCAGGUUAAGCUGGGCACUCUAAGGAGACUGCCUUCGUAAGGAGGAGGAAGGUGAGGACGACCUCAAGUCAUCAUGGCCCUUAUGGCUAGGGCUACACACGUGCUACAAUGGGGCGUACAGAGAGUUGCGAUACCGCGAGGUGAAGCCAAUCUCAUAAAGCGCCUCUCAGUUCGGAUUGUUCUCUGCAACUCGAGAGCAUGAAGCUGGAAUCACUAGUAAUCGUAGAUCAGCUAUGCUACGGUGAAUACGUUCCCGGGUCUUG